AUCGGACUGACCUCAGGGCAGCUGAGAGGAGAUGGCGUAAAUCUAAAGAUCCAGCAGAUCUAGAACAAGCUGCUGGAUGACAAUCAGUCAGGCUUCAAAAGUGGACACUCCACCGAGACUGCCCUGCUGUCUGUCACUGAGUCGCUGAGACAGGCGAAAGCUUAAUCCAGAUCAUCCGUCCUGAUUCUGCUGGACCUUUCUGCAGCCUUUGACACAGUCAACCAUCAGAUCUUACUCUCUACCCUCUCCUCGCUGGGCAUCACAGGAACUGUGCUUGACUGGUUUAAUUCCAAUCUCUCAGCCCAACGACACCACAGUGACUGCUCGAAUUUCUGCCUGCCUGGCAGACAUCUCGGCCUGGAUGAAGGAGCACC
Myxocyprinus asiaticus (Chinese sucker) is the source of this 374-nucleotide long non-coding RNA. RefSeq lists it as uncharacterized. The transcript is spliced from 3 exons. Lineage: Eukaryota; Metazoa; Chordata; Actinopteri; Cypriniformes; Catostomidae. The record is from RefSeq and is a predicted model, not a curated record.